CAGCAGCCACGGUAAUACGUAGGUGGCAAGCGUUGUCCGGAAUUAUUGGGCGUAAAGGGCUCGCAGGCGGUUUCUUAAGUCUGAUGUGAAAGCCCCCGGCUCAACCGGGGAGGGUCAUUGGAAACUGGGAAACUUGAGUGCAGAAGAGGAGAGUGGAAUUCCACGUGUAGCGGUGAAAUGCGUAGAGAUGUGGAGGAACACCAGUGGCGAAGGCGACUCUCUGGUCUGUAACUGACGCUGAGGAGCGAAAGCGUGGGGAGCGAACAGGAUUAGAUACCCCCGUAGUCCCUGUCUCUUAUAU
Molecule: ribosomal RNA, 301 nt
Filed under: uncultured bacterium
Lineage: Bacteria
Description: partial 16S ribosomal RNA
Rfam family: Bacterial small subunit ribosomal RNA
Source: RNAcentral